This 426-nucleotide unclassified non-coding RNA is filed under the name uncultured Lactarius. RNAcentral describes it as "sequence contains ITS1". The stretch from base 1 to 105 matches the Rfam family "5.8S ribosomal RNA", at positions 50 to 154 of the family's 154-position model. The record is from RNAcentral. Lineage: Eukaryota; Fungi; Basidiomycota; Agaricomycetes; Russulales; Russulaceae.
GAAAUGCGAUACGUAGUGUGAAUUGCAGAAUUAAGCGAAUCAUCGAAACCUUGAACGCACCUUGCGCCCGCGGGCACUCCCGCGGGCACGCUUGUUUGAGCGUCAUUUCAAUACUCCUCCACCCCCCCGUGGGGCGGGGGGAACUGGUCGCUGGGCCGCCCGGCCCGCCGGCCGAAACGCAGGCGGUUCCGCGAGUCUUGGCGUCAGGGCCUGACGGGCGCGCGCCGCGGGUGGCGUAGCGUGUGCGUGUCUCGGUCGUCCGUUGGUCGUCGCGAGUGUCGCCGGUCGGCGUGCGGCGUUGCCUCGCCCCGGACGCGACCCGCCAAGCCCUGGCGCCCCGCCGCGGGCGCCACAAACCCGAGCCGCCUCGAGCGGCGAUCGAACAACUGUGACCUCAAAUCAAGCGAGGCUACCCGCUGAAUUUAA